GAGAUACUAAUAAAAAUAUUAUUUGAGUUUAACAUGUCACUUGUGUCUUAUGUCUCCAUUACAAUGAAAAUAUCGAUAUAAGCUGGUUACAUGCUUAUUCACAUAAGAUGGGUACAUGCAAGUUUAGUUUUCGAUGAUAAACACCUCUGCCUUUUUCCAUUCAUUCCUUUAGAGUAACUGCCCUACAACACCCCCUUCCAUCUGCAAAGUGUCCCUUCCUACCCUUGGCCAACAAGAUACAAGGUAGGUGCCAUCUUUUUUGCCACCACGAGUAACGAACCCAACCUGAAAAUUUAAAAAAAUGAGGAGAAAGUGAUAGUAUUUUGUAAAGAAUAUAUAUGGUGAAAUCAGAAUCUUGUGCAACAAUUUAUCAGGCACACAUAUAUAUCAGUACUUUCUAUAAGUGAGGUGGUGAUGCUAAAGAUUGUUAAAAAUCUAUUAUUCCGAAAUAAAGAGUAAGCUAUUAGGAAGUAAAAAAUAAUGAUGCAAAACAUCCAACUUGACAUGAUAGUAGUCAAACAUCUCUUAAAUCAUCAAAUUAACAGGAAAUGGGAGUGCUCUUUUCGAGUGCCACAAUGUACGAUGUAGAAAUCAUUUGGUAACGGUUUGUCAAACCACAAACAAAAGGAACAAUAAUGUAUUCACCGUAAUGAUAAGCAGCAUAUCCUAGCAAUCUUGUUUUUGUGAAACCAGCGUUACCAUUGAUGCAACCUACAAUUAAAGAACAGUGUAGCAGUCUUAUCUCCAGCCGCAGAAGAGCAAGCAUCAAAGCUACAAAGGCCUACAACUUCCAAUGAUUUCAUCACAGACUGAGAAAGUAGUAAAGAAUGUUUACAUAUGUUGUCGCAUUGUCAUUCUGAAGUAUUUCAUUGAACAAAAUAGUACAAUACCAAAGAACAAAAACAAAUAUUGGCCCAACAACAACAAAUAGACAUUGCCUUGACCACCCUGUACAAAUAAUUUGGCAACUCAUUUUAGGAUACAGGACCCAGAAUAAAAGGAAAAAAAUUAUCUCAAUUUAGUUGCACUAUAAUUAGGUAAGGGAAUUAGUUUGGUGGAGUGGUAAUUGUGGAAACAAAAUGAAAUUGUUCAGUAUCAGAUACUGCCAAUUACAUCUCUAUCACUAAACUGGCUGGAGAUCGCUAAUUAAUCGACGAUAAGAGUUUGCCAACUGUUAAUGUGUGCAUAAACAUGGCACAACACAGAAGAAUCUAAUAAAUCGCAGCAAAACAAUAACAACAAUCACCAGCUUAAAAAAUACAAUAUGCGACAAAUAUCUCAAGUGUUUCUGAAUGUGUUUCACUACCUCCAUGUGUACCAGCUGUCUCUGUAGAAGGAAGCACACUCCUUGUGAACAAGUUGUCUCUGUAGAAAGAAGUACUUCAAAUUAAAUAGAUCCCACCAAAAGAAACAUGGACCUACAGAAAAAUGAAUAUUUUCUUGACAACCAGACUUAAACUGAAAGCAUCCAUCAACAUACCUACAACUUAACUAAACCUUAACCGAGAAACAUCAUCCAACAGGAACAAAAUUCCUACAACUUAACUAAACUGAAAGCAUCCAUCAUCAUCAUGAUGAACCGAAACAUCAUCAUCAUUGCAGUAUACUUGCCACACACCCAUAUAAUCAUCCAUGUAUCUUUUGAAUCUACAAAGAAAAUAAUAAAAUGAAGUGUUAAUAGACAAUGCACUAACAUGAUGCAAGUAGUGAUAGAGGUAGGACAUUAGUCACAUACAAAGGUUGAAGACCAUGAAAUCUUUGUUUUUUCUGCAUUACCGAGAGUAUUGCAGUUUUUGCGACUCCAUACCAAAUCUUCAAUUUUCACAGUGCCAUAUCGACAUGAUGCUAGCAAAAAGAAAGCAAAAAGGCAUGAUUAUUGACAACUGUUCAGAAGCAAUGCAUUGAGAAAUUUAAAUGGCAUUACAGCUAUGAAUUAUCUAGAUCGCUUAUAAGUAUGGCAUUAAAAAAUAUUAGCUCCUACGAUAUAGUAACUUUUUGUUAGUUACUUCAUGCUAAUGCAUGUAUACUAACAGUAAAAACUGGAGCAAUCAGACCAACACCAAAAUCCAGAUAUAUAAAGGCAAGCAUCAGCCAUCCUACACUUGCAGACCGUCAUAUCCAUUGGAACGAGUGCUCCAAAAUAUAUUAUAUGAAGCCAAGACCCAGCCAUGCAUCACAUGAGAAUCAUUCAAUUGGAUAGAAGAACAGUACCCGUAACUAAAGCAGAAUAACAAUCAAAUUCUUAGGCCAGUUUAGCAGGUGUUGAGAAUCCCUUUGUCGGCGUCUUGUGCCACAGGUUGCACUUAGCCGUCAAUGACAUCCAACAGGUACCAGCCACUGCAUAUCGGCUUAGCCUCCUCAGCCUAUCAUCGAUUACGCGCUCUCGCCCACAUCUUGGUAGCAAACGAUGACCAGUCUGCCUUUAAAACAUAU
This 2433-nucleotide long non-coding RNA is filed under the name Triticum aestivum (bread wheat). RNAcentral's name for it is "long non-coding RNA (TAES_LNC014357)". The record is from RNAcentral. Lineage: Eukaryota; Viridiplantae; Streptophyta; Magnoliopsida; Poales; Poaceae.